AUAAGUUGAGUUGUCUCUGCUCCAUGGUUUAAAUAGCCGCAGUAUCUUGACUGUGCUAAGGUAGCAUAGUAAUUUGUUCUUUAAUUAAGAGCUAGAAUGAAGGAGCUGACGACGCUUAAACUUUUAAGCUAGAUUUAUGGAACUUAAUGUUUGCUUCAAAAAGAGCAGAUAAGCUAGGGGGACGAUAAGACCCUAUAAAACUUUAAUUUUAAGGUGUGUGUAAUAUUUAGAAUAAAAUAGACACUUAAAUUUAAGCUGGGGCGGUAAUUAAAGUACAUUAAGAAGAUUAACACAGUUAAUGAUAUUAAGGAUCUCAUUAAGAGAUAGAACAAGUUACUUUAGGGAUAACAGCACAAUUUUUCCAGAUAGUUCACAUAAAAGGAAAAGACUUGUGACCUCGAUGUUGAAUUAAGGUGUCUUAUUUAAGCAAAAAUAAAUAAAGAGGGUCUGUUCGACCUUUA
Molecule: ribosomal RNA, 461 nt
Filed under: Chelator insignis
Lineage: Eukaryota; Metazoa; Arthropoda; Malacostraca; Isopoda; Desmosomatidae
Description: partial 16S ribosomal RNA
Rfam family: Archaeal large subunit ribosomal RNA
Source: RNAcentral